CUGCAUGAAGUCGGAAUUGCUAGUAAUCGCGGAUCAGCAUGCCGCGGUGAAUACGUUCCCGGGCCUUGUACACACCGCCCGUCAAGCCAUGGGAGCCGGGAGCGCUUGAAGUGCGUCGCCGCGAGGCGCGCCCUAGAGCGAGACCGGUGACUGGGGCUAAGUCGUAACAAGGUACC
Molecule: ribosomal RNA, 176 nt
Filed under: uncultured bacterium
Lineage: Bacteria
Description: partial 16S ribosomal RNA
Rfam family: Bacterial small subunit ribosomal RNA
Source: RNAcentral